RNAcentral lists this ribosomal RNA (483 nucleotides) under uncultured Methanosaeta sp. Its description in RNAcentral is "bacterial SSU rRNA". It matches the Rfam family "Archaeal small subunit ribosomal RNA", at positions 856 to 1338 of the family's 1478-position model. The record is from RNAcentral. Lineage: Archaea; Methanobacteriati; Methanobacteriota; Methanomicrobia; Methanotrichales; Methanotrichaceae.
UUAAAUGAAUUGACGGGGAGCACCACAACGGGUGGAGCUUGCGGUUUAAUUUGGGAUUCAACGCCGGAAAUCUUACCGGGACCGACAGCAAUAUGAAGGCCAGGCUGAAGACUUUGCCGGAUUAGCUGAGAGGUGGUGCAUGGCCGUCGUCAGUUCGUACUGUGAAGCAUCCUGUUAAGUCAGGCAACGAGCGAGACCCACGCCCACAGUUGCCAGCGUACUCUCUGGAGUGACGGGUACACUGUGGGACCGCCGCUGCUAAAGCGGAGGAAGGAAUGGGCAACGGUAGGUCAGUAUGCCCCGAAUAUCCCGGGCUACACGCGAGCUACAAUGGUUGGUACAAUGGGUAUCUACCCCGAAAGGGGACGGGAAUCUCCUAAAACCAAUCUUAGUUCGGAUUGAGGGCUGCAACUCGCCCUCAUGAAGCUGGAAUCCGUAGUAAUCGCGUUUCAACAGAACGCGGUGAAUACGUCCCUGCUCCUU